RNAcentral lists this transfer RNA (71 nucleotides) under Trichechus manatus latirostris (Florida manatee). RNAcentral describes it as "tRNA-Gly (CCC) (tRNA-Gly-CCC-2-1)". It matches the Rfam family "tRNA". From Rfam's summary of the family: Transfer RNA (tRNA) molecules are approximately 80 nucleotides in length. The record is from Rfam by way of RNAcentral. Lineage: Eukaryota; Metazoa; Chordata; Mammalia; Sirenia; Trichechidae.
GCAUUGGUGGUUCAGUGGUAGAAUUCCCGCCUCCCAUGCAGGAGACCCAGGUUCGAUUCCUGGCCAAUGCA